UACGUAGGGUGCGAGCGUUGUCCGGAAUGAUUGGGCGUAAAGCGUCCGCAGGUGGCAGUUCAAGUCUGCUGUCAAAGACCGGGGCUUAACUUCGGAAAGGCAGUGGAAACUGAACAGCUAGAGUAUGGUAGGGGCAGAGGGAAUUCCUGGUGUAGCGGUGAAAUGCGUAGAUAUCAGGAAGAACAUCGGUGGCGAAGGCGCUCUGCUGGACCAUAACUGACACUCAGGGACGAAAGCUAGGGGAGCGAAUGGG
This 253-nucleotide ribosomal RNA is filed under the name uncultured bacterium. Its description in RNAcentral is "partial 16S ribosomal RNA". It matches the Rfam family "Bacterial small subunit ribosomal RNA", at positions 524 to 776 of the family's 1533-position model. The record is from RNAcentral.